CCCUAUAGAAUUUUAUUUAAUAUUUUAUUUAUUAAAUAAUUAUUAAUUUGUAAAUAAGAUGUUAAAUUUGAUUGGGAGGAUUGAUAAAUUAAUUAAACUUUAUUUAAUAUUUAAUUUUGAUUUAAAGAUAGAUAUUGAAUUAUAAUUUAUAAUUAAUAGAGUAAAUUACCUUAGGGAUAACAGCGUAAUAUCUUUUGAUAGACCAUAUAGAUAAAGAUGAUUGCGACCUCGAUGUUGAAUUAAGAUUAAAAUUAAACGCAGAAGUUUAAAUUUUGAGUCUGUUCG
RNAcentral lists this ribosomal RNA (285 nucleotides) under Apis dorsata (giant honeybee). RNAcentral describes it as "partial 16S large subunit ribosomal RNA". The record is from RNAcentral. Lineage: Eukaryota; Metazoa; Arthropoda; Insecta; Hymenoptera; Apidae.